This 72-nucleotide transfer RNA is filed under the name Candidatus Shapirobacteria bacterium. RNAcentral's name for it is "tRNA-Arg". It matches the Rfam family "tRNA". From Rfam's summary of the family: Transfer RNA (tRNA) molecules are approximately 80 nucleotides in length. Lineage: Bacteria; Candidatus Shapironibacteriota. The record is from RNAcentral.
GUCCCCAUAGUUCAAUGGAUAGAACGGAGGUUUCCUAAACCUUAAAUGGCAGUUCGAUUCUGCCUGGGGAUA